AACAUUGAUCAGCCAUAAAAGGAAAUAAGCUGUUAAGCAUAGAUGAAGCUUAAAUCCACAUUGCUAAAUAAAAGAAGCCAGUCUUCUUUUAGAAUACAUUUUGCAGAGCAAAAGAAACUAUCAUCAGAGUGAACACGUUGGUUUGCUGCACCCAUCAACUCGUCAUUUACAUUAGGUAUUUCUCCUAAUGCUAUCCCUCCCCCAGCCCCACAGCCCCGGACAGGCCCCAGUGUGUGAUGUUCACUGCCCUGUGUCCAUGUGUUUUCAUUGUUUAACUCCCACCUAUGAGUGAGAACAUGCAGUGUUUGGUUUUCUGUCCAUGUGAUAGUUUGCUUAGAAUGAUCGUUUCCAGCUUCAUCCAUGUCCCUGCAAAGGACAUGAACUCAUCAUUUUUUAUGGCUGCAUAGUAUUCCAUGGUGUAUAUGUGCCACAUAUUCUUAAUCCAGUCUAUCAUUGAUGGACA
This 463-nucleotide long non-coding RNA is filed under the name Pan troglodytes (chimpanzee). Its description in RNAcentral is "long non-coding RNA NONPTRT000382". Lineage: Eukaryota; Metazoa; Chordata; Mammalia; Primates; Hominidae. The record is from RNAcentral.